GGUAUCCUCACAACAAAAUGUUUUAUAUCAAAACCAAAAUAAGAAUCAUAAUCCCGAAUCACACACACACUACUCCCUUUUGUGUGUUUCCACUUGUAAACUGAACGAGUUAACACAAAGAGAGGAGCGUCUUCUGUAAGAAAAGAUGCAGAAGGACACGGGAAUCGCACAAGAUAAACAUCAUCUUCCAGCAGGAUAUCCAGCCGCAGUAGAGGUCCCUGAACUGCGGGGACAACAAGACAAGAACAAAAAAAAGAAGCUCGAGACAAAGCAGAGAGGAGACAAAGGCUUUAUUGAAGGAUGUCUCUUUGCACUAUGCUGCUGCUGGAUUUGUUCUAAGGAAAAAAAAAGAACACUAUUACAGUGUGUCAAGCUUCCUUGUGUAUCUAUUAGUGGCUUUUAAUAUUAUCACCGAUAGAGAUUGCGGGGACUAUAUAUGUGGUGUUUGUAUGUAUUCAAAAGAAGAUUUAUUUCCAUACCAGUAACGUAAAUAUCAUCAAAAUUUCAAA
This is a long non-coding RNA of Brassica oleracea var. oleracea, 509 nucleotides long. RefSeq lists it as uncharacterized. The record is from RefSeq and is a predicted model, not a curated record. NCBI's taxonomy places the organism in Eukaryota, Viridiplantae, Streptophyta, Magnoliopsida, Brassicales, Brassicaceae. The transcript is spliced from 3 exons.